GGUCCGUUGGUCAAGGGGUUAAGACACCGCCUUUUCACGGCGGUAACACGGGAAUCCCGUACGGACUA
RNAcentral lists this transfer RNA (68 nucleotides) under Streptococcus pneumoniae 2071247. RNAcentral's name for it is "tRNA-Glu". It matches the Rfam family "tRNA". Rfam says of the family: Transfer RNA (tRNA) molecules are approximately 80 nucleotides in length. Their secondary structure includes four short double-helical elements and three loops (D, anti-codon, and T loops). Lineage: Bacteria; Bacillati; Bacillota; Bacilli; Lactobacillales; Streptococcaceae. The record is from RNAcentral.